GGGGGACCAUCCUCCAAGGCUAAAUACUCCUGACUGACCGAUAGUGAACCAGUACCGUGAGGGAAAGGCGAAAAGAACCCCGGCGAGGGGAGUGAAAAAGAACCUGAAACCGUGUACGUACAAGCAGUGGGAGCACCCUUCGGGGUGUGACUGCGUACCUUUUGUAUAAUGGGUCAGCGACUUAUAUUCUGUAGCAAGGUUAACCGGAUAGGGGAGCCGCAGGGAAACCGAGUCUUAACUGGGCGAAUUAGUUGCAGGGUAUAGACCCGAAACCCGGUGAUCUAGCCAUGGGCAGGUUGAAGGUUGGGUAACACUAACUGGAGGACCGAACCGACUAAUGUUGAAAAAUUAGCGGAUGACUUGUGGCUGGGGGUGAAAGGCCAAUCAAACCGGGAGAUAGCUGGUUCUCCCCGAAAGCUAUUUAGGUAGCGCCUCGUGAAUUCAUCUCCGGGGGUAGAGCACUGUUUCGGCUAGGGGGUCAUCCCGACUUACCAACCCGAUGCAAACUGCGAAUACCGGAGAAUGUUAUCACGGGAGACACACGGCGGGUGCUAACGUUCGUCGUGAAGAGGGAAACAACCCAGACCGCCGGCUAAGGUCCCAAAGUCAUAAUUAAGUGGGAAACGAAGUGGGAAGGCUCAGACAGCCAGGAUGUUGGCUUAGAAGCAGCCAUCAUUUAAAGAAAGCGUAAUAGCUCACUGGUCGAGUCGGCCUGCGCGGAAGAUGUAACGGGGCUAAAUUAUGCACCGAAGCCGCGGCAGCGAUAUGUAAAUAUUGUUGGGUAGGGGAGCGUUCUGUAAGCCUGUGAAGGUGACCUGUGAGGGUUGCUGGAGGUAUCAGAAGUGCGAAUGCUGACAUAAGUAACGAUAAUGCGGGUGAAAAACCCGCACGCCGGAAGACCAAGGGUUCCUGUCCAACGUUAAUCGGGGCAGGGUGAGUCGACCCCUAAGGCGAGGCUGAAAAGCGUAGUCGAUGGGCAACGGGUUAAUAUUCCCGUACUGGUGGUAACUGCGAAGGGGGGACGGAGAAAGCUAAAUCAUCCGGGCGACGGUUGUCCCGGUUUAAGCGUGCAGGUGGACUGACCAGGCAAAUCCGGUCGGUUGUUAACACUGAGGCGUGACGACGAGCCACCACGGUGGUGAAGUGAUUGAUGCUCUGCUUCCGGGAAAAGCCUCUAAGCUCCAGGUUACCAUUAAUCGUACCCCAAACCGACACAGGUGGUCAGGUAGAGAAUACUCAGGCGCUUGAGAGAACUCGGGUGAAGGAACUAGGCAAAAUGGUGCCGUAACUUCGGGAGAAGGCACGCUGGCAUUAGGUGAAGUGGUUUACCCAUGGAGCUGAAGCCAGCCGCAGAUACCAGCUGGCUGCAACUGUUUAUUAAAAACACAGCACUGUGCAAACACGAAAGUGGACGUAUACGGUGUGACGCCUGCCCGGUGCCGGAAGGUUAAUUGAUGAGGUUAGCGUAAGCGAAGCUUCUGAUCGAAGCCCCGGUAAACGGCGGCCGUAACUAUAACGGUCCUAAGGUAGCGAAAUUCCUUGUCGGGUAAGUUCCGACCUGCACGAAUGGCGUAAUGAUGGCCAGGCUGUCUCCACCCGAGACUCAGUGAAAUUGAACUCGCUGUGAAGAUGCAGUGUACCCGCGGCAAGACGGAAAGACCCCGUGAACCUUUACUAUAGCUUGACACUGAACAUUGAGCCUUGAUGUGUAGGAUAGGUGGGAGGCAACGAAGUGUGGACGCCAGUCUGCACGGAGCCAUCCUUGAAAUACCACCCUUUAACGUUUGAUGUUCUAACCCGGGUCCAUAAUCUGGAUCGGGGACCGUGUCUGGUGGGUAGUUUGACUGGGGCGGUCUCCUCCCAAAGAGUAACGGAGGAGCACGAAGGUUGGCUAAGCAUGGUCGGACAUCAUGCGGUUAGUGCAAAGGCAUAAGCCAGCUUGACUGCGAGAGUGACGGCUCGAGCAGGUACGAAAGUAGGUCUUAGUGAUCCGGUGGUUCUGAAUGGAAGGGCCAUCGCUCAACGGAUAAAAGGUACUCCGGGGAUAACAGGCUGAUACCGCCCAAGAGUUCAUAUCGACGGCGGUGUUUGGCACCUCGAUGUCGGCUCAUCACAUCCUGGGGCUGAAGUAGGUCCCAAGGGUAUGGCUGUUCGCCAUUUAAAGUGGUACGCGAGCUGGGUUUAGAACGUCGUGAGACAGUUCGGUCCCUAUCUGCCGUGGGCGCUGGAAGAUUGAGAGGGGUUGCUCCUAGUACGAGAGGACCGGAGUGAACGCACCACUGGUGUACGGGUUGUGAUGCCAAUUGCAUUGCCCGGUAGCUAAGUGCGGAAGAGAUAACCGCUGAAAGCAUCUAAGCGGGAAACUUGCCUCGAGAUGAGUCUUCCCUGAUUCU
RNAcentral lists this ribosomal RNA (2393 nucleotides) under Morganella morganii. RNAcentral's name for it is "bacterial LSU rRNA". It matches the Rfam family "Bacterial large subunit ribosomal RNA", at positions 447 to 2822 of the family's 2925-position model. The record is from RNAcentral. Lineage: Bacteria; Pseudomonadati; Pseudomonadota; Gammaproteobacteria; Enterobacterales; Morganellaceae.